Molecule: small nuclear RNA, 91 nt
Organism: Cervus hanglu yarkandensis (Yarkand deer)
Lineage: Eukaryota; Metazoa; Chordata; Mammalia; Artiodactyla; Cervidae
Source: Ensembl
GCUCGCUUUGGCAGCAUAUACUAAAAUUGGAAUGAUACAGAGAAGAUUAGUGUGGCCCCUGUGCAAGGAUGAUGAAGUGUUCCAUAUUCCU